AUCAAAGUGUCGAGUAAAAAGAGAAAAAAACCCUCACAUGUCAUACAGAACAGCUGAAAACCUGUCUCACCUUCAGUGCUCAUUAAAAUAAUCUAAUUCUACAGGAGAAGUACUUCAUGAAAAGGUGGAAGGUGUGCACUUUGGGCCCUGCAUUCUGCUCCAUCAAAUUCCAUCUGUAAUCACAUCCCAAGGCCAG
This 196-nucleotide long non-coding RNA is filed under the name Fukomys damarensis (Damara mole-rat). RNAcentral's name for it is "lncRNA (ENSFDAG00000022346.1)". The record is from RNAcentral. Lineage: Eukaryota; Metazoa; Chordata; Mammalia; Rodentia; Bathyergidae.